CUGCAAACUGAUACUUGAGAGGGCCACACCUUUCACAGCAGGCUUUCUCUAGGGAGGCUAGACUUCACUGAAGGGAAAUGAAUGAUGGAGUGAGUGAGUCCUCUCCUGACCAAGGUUAAGAACAAAUAUGAGUGCCCAGCUCAGUGCUUGAAUUGGUUGUAGGUACAAUGACCCUGAGAUUUGCCUGUACUCUAAGGGAUGUCUGCUAGAAAUAUCACUGAUCUAUAGACAGAAGACAUCUGUUCACCAACCUAUUGGGAGGAUGUAGUUGACAUAAAUAGUACCUUCUCACAAAAUUUGUUUUGUGUCUGCCAUGCAAUAAUAAACCAAAUAUUUAUAAAUUGGAAACUAGCCAUUUCCAUUUUUAUCAGUCAAAAGUAAUAAGAUUUUCUAAGUUAAUCAUCAGGCAUUGCCCCUGGUGAUUGGCAUUAUAUCACACACCCAGCUGCCAAAAGCCAUUUUCUUUGCUACUGGGAAGAAAGCUAAAAUGAGUAAUGUUAUCCAAACUUCCCUAAAUUCCAAAAAGGCUUUGGACUUGAAGCGGGACUCAUUUAUAAACACAUCUAUUUAAGCCUGGUGUUUUUGCUUGCUGUUACAGGGACUAUAUCAUAAAUGUGCAUUCUUUAGAUGAAAGAUCCUUCUCAUAGAAUGACAAUUCUGUUAAAAACCCAUUAUAUUAUGUCACAUGAAAAAUGAAAAAUUCACAUUGUAUAUGUAACAUAAUAAUAAUGAAGGAUGAAAGGGAAGAACUUCUGCUUGGAAAAAUGACUGAAAACAUACAAUGAAUAUUAAAAACUGUGAGGCUUUGAAUGGAUUUUUUUUCCUCUUUCCACAUUUAAGGGCUUUCUACUUCUUAAUCAGAACUUAUUACUAGGUCAUAAACUUAUGAAAACAUUGAAACAUUGUAUUUUAGAAUGUGUUUUAAUUUUCCUAUAGCAAUUUCAUUGCUUUUCACUUAUGUUACAAAUGUAAAACAUUUAGCAUUUUAUUAGAAUCAUUUGAAAUCAUGAACUUCUCAAACAAAAUAUUUUAAUUCAUUUAAUUGUUAAAUAAAUUGCAAUAUGCUUGCUCUAACAGGAAAAAAACUUUUUCAAAAUCUAUAAAUAAGAAACUACUAUUAAAACAGUUUUCAUUUGAUAUUCCCUGUGAAUUAAAGUAUUAUUUAAGGGUAUCAGAAAGGAAGUAUUACAUUUAACUUCCAGUCAAACCCAGUUUCUGGUUAUUUUAUAAAAAUAUCUAUUAAUACGAGGAAUUUUAUAUCUUUAUCUAUAUAUAGAUAUAGAUACUGAUAGAUAUAUAUUCAUUGAGAAAGCUGCUUAUAAUUUGAGAAUAUUAGUCAUGGAGUUUUCACACAUUUACUGGUUUCGUACUACCACAUGUUUUCCUCCUGCCUCUCUUUUCCAUCUUUAGCUUAAAAAAGGGAAAGAAGAGGAGGAGGAGGAGGAAGAGGAGAAGGAGGAGGAGGAAGCAGAGAAGGAGGAGGAGGAGGAGAAAAGGAUUUGAAGAAAUUGAAUCAGUUCUGGAACAGCAGACACAGAUGUUCAAAUUAUGUCAUUAUGUGUGAGAAAAAUUAUGAUACUGAGAUAGAUGACAAACCCUCAAUGAGGUUCUCAAUGAUUAAGAACCAUCAUCUCUGUCAUCAAUUAAUUAGCUCAAGUGUAAGUAUUUUCUGAUUUUUUCUUACACAUUGCAAAUAUUUUCUGCCAAAUUGUUGUUUGUGUGCAUUGGGAAGUGGGAUGGGGGGGUUGUAGAGACAGGUGUCUCACUGUGUUGCCCAGGCUGGUCUUGAGCUCCUGGACUGAAGAGAUCCUCCUGCUUGGCUUCUCAAAGCGCUGGGAUUACAGGUGCAAGCCACUGCACCCAGCCAAACUGUGGCUUUUUAACAACAUUUUGUUUGUUUUCUUUUUUUUCCUCUUUUUUUUUCCCUUUUAACAACAUUUUUAAUGAUAUCUUUUGUCAUUGCUUAAUAUUUUGCUUUUAUCUAAUUAAGUUGCUCAAUCUUUUCUUUUUCUAACUCUGGGUUUCAUGUUGAAGGAAUUCAGGACAUGCUACCCCAAAAUGUGAAAACUUGGCAUUUGAGAAGACAGCAGAAGCAGGAAGGUCACGCUCACUACCUCCCCCACAAUGCUCUACUCCCCUGAAACAGAUCAUAAAACCUAGGAAGGAUUUCCUGACCAUCCCCUCAAGUAGGUCUUAUGACCCUCAUGUGAGAGGUGCCCUCCCUAUACCCAGAAGAUAGCAACAUCCUCAUUUCUGAAGAUACAAGGACAAAGAGAAGAGUUUGAACAAACGGCUUCCUAAGUUCUCCCCAGUUUAUUAACAUUAUGUUACAGUCUCACCAACGCACCGCAAUGUAGCAGUCUCUCGUUUGAGGUAUCACCCUGAGUUCUCGGUCUCACAACCAUGACAAUUAAGGAACAUGAUCACCAAGGGUGAGGUUGGAGUGGAAGUUUAAUAAGCAAAAGAAGAAAGUUCUCCACCACAGAAAGGGGCCCAAAAGAGGGUUGCCAUUUUUACAGUUGAAUGCAAAGGCUUUUAUAAGAAACCAGUUAGAGCUGGGCAUCUCAUUUGCAUGAGAUGCGAAUUUCUGGUAGCUCCACCCCAUCCUCCUAAUGCACAUGUAGGCCCUUAGCUUGAGUUACUCCGUAUUGCUUUGUUGCCCUUACUGCACAUGUGUCAGGGGAUGGAAUUUUCCAUUACGGGCAUGUCUGGGCAAGUCACCUGUGUAGGCUUUCUUAUCUGUGUGGCUGUGGGCAUGUCUUAGGCAAGUGCCGCUGUGCAAGUUCCCUUAUCUGUGCCUGCAGCUUGAUUUUUCUGGCUGUUCUUUUGUUUGAAAAGAUUCAACCAAGGACCCACCAUAACUGCCUGCCUGACUGGUUUCUUCCUCCUUCCUCUCUCAAUGAUAUCAUUCUCCCUUUGUUCAAUCAUAUUUCUUCAUCAAACCUAGCAUAAAGAAUAUACAAAUUUAUGCAUUUGGGGGAGGUCUUCCUUUCCUUAUGAAGGCUUCCAUACCACGUAUAAAUAAUAUGUGUAUGAUUUUCUCUUGUGAAUCUGUAUUUUGUUAUAGGGGCCUCAGCCAUGAACCUAGAGAUUAGUGAGCAAAAAUUAUUUUUUUCUCAAGUGUUUCUUGCUUGAGAUGAUUUUCUUAUCCCCAAGAUUAAAAUAUUAUGUGUUUCUUCCAUGAUUUUUAUGGUGUUUAUAUCUAUUUCUUUAAUCUUUCUAGAAUGUACUUUUGUACAUGCUGAAAGGUAGAAUUAAUUUUGCAAAAAGGAAAAAGCUACUUGCUACUUUUACUAUAAUUAUAAUUAUAUAAUUAUUAUUAAGGUUUUUUCUUUCUUCUUUCUUUUUUUUUUUUUUUUUUUUUUUUUUUUUUUUUUGAGAUAGGGUCUCACUCUGUCACCCAGGCUAGAGUGUAGUGGUGCAAUCUGGGCUCACUGCAACCUCUGCCUCCCAGGUUCAAGUGAUCCUCCAAACUCAGCUUCCCAAGUAGCUGGGACUACAGGCAUGUGCCACCACAAUUAUUAUUUCAUUAGACCCUCUCUGGAUCUUGUUCCAUCUCUAAUAUCUCUGCCAAAUGCUCCGAAUCAGGUAGAUAUAUUUAAAUUCUAGCUGGUGCAAAGAAGGAAUAAUUUGAAAAAGAAGAAAUAAUUUUAAUGCACAUGCAAGUAAUAUACGUAUUCAUCUAGUUACUUGCAUGCAUUUGUGGCCAAAAGCCAUGAAUCAUAUAAAGAAGUAGCUGCAGCCAGGCACGGUAGCUCAUGCCUGUAAUCCUAGCACUUUGGGAGGCCAAGGGCGGGGGAGGGGGUGGAUUACCUGAGGUCAGGAGUUCGAGACCAGCCUGGCCAACAUGGUGAAACCCUGUCUUUACUAAAAAUACAAACAUUAGCUGGUCAUGGUGGUGGGUGCCUAUAAUCCCAGCUACUUGGGAGGCUGAGGAGAAUUGCUUGAACCCAGCAGAUGGAGGUUGCAGUGAGCUGAGAUUGUGCCACUUUACUCCAGCCUGGGUGAAACAGCAAAACUCCAUCUCAAAAAAAAAAGUAGCUUCAAUGCUGUUUUCAAGAUACUUAAGCCAAUUUGGUCAUACACCCUUAUUAGUUGCUUUAUGAUUAGCUCUCCAAAGCUUCCAGUAAUUAGAAUUUGGUGACAACCAUAGAGACUUCAAUUCCAAAUGGUAUGUUAUAAUGAAAGCAAAUUUCAGACCUCAUUCAGCCAUGGGUAUAAAUAUGUAUUAGCAAUCAGGCCCUCCAAAUAGUCAUACUACCCGUUUUAUAAGCUUGAUGAAGUCUUAGCUCUCUGACCUUUCAGUGUUCCCACAGAACCUUAUGAGCGUCAGAGACAGGAGGACCAUGUUCCAGCUUUGGAGCAGGAUUAACUAACUCUCAAAUGAGAGUCAGGUGAAAAAUUCUCUCACUACAGUCUAGAAUUUCAAGCCUGGAGAGAUAAUUCAAACAGUCUAGAAUUUCAAGCCUGGAGACAUAAUUCAAAAUGAAUAGACAGGCUAGCUGGACUUUUACACCUCAUUUAUGCAAAGGCAAGAGUAUCCAUAAGACAUUUUUAUCCAAUCCACAUAAAAUUGAAUUCAUUUUACCAGUAAAAAAUCAUUUCUAACAUCCCUUAUGCUAAUUAACAAACCCCCUGGGAUUGAUAUGAGAUAAAGACGACUGGAGCCAUAAUCUAAUCCUUCUGGAAUGUGGCUUCUGAAUGGAGAAUUUCUUUUUUUGUGUGUGAGAUGAAGCCUCACUUUGUUGCUGAGGCUGGAGUGCAGUGGCACGAUCCCGGCUCACUGCAACCUCUGCCUCCCAGUUUCAAGCGAUUCUCCUGCUUUAGCCCCCACCAAGUAGCUGAAAUUACAGACAUGAACCCAAUGCCUAGCUAAUUCUUUUUUUGAAUUUUUAGUAGAGACGGGGUUUUGCCAUGUUGGCCAGGCUGGUCUCGAACUCCCGACUUCAAGUGAUCCACACCCACCUUGGCCUCACAAAGUCCCGGGAUUACCUGCGUGAGCCACCAAGCCAAGCCUGAACUGACAAUUUCAAAUAUUAACCUACCAUCCAGGAGUAUAUUUUUCCUGAGAGAGUUCAGAAAUAUCACCCCAAAAUAUGCAGCAUUGGUAUGCUGAUUACUUCAAACUGAAGUCAUUUGGGAAAUGCCAAACGCACAGAGGGGCUUUUCCUGAAUUUCCCUUAUCUGACUAAGUGCAGAUUCUCCAGAAGGAAGCCAAUUGUCAAGAAAUGCUUCCUGGGGAUUUUUAUCUAUCCGUGAAGAUUAACACACAACAGAAGUCAAACCUAGAAAAAGCUGGAGGUUAGCACCUCCUACAGACAGGAUAUAACCUAUUCUUCUGAAGGCUGAUUCGUACUUUUCAUAAUCAUUUACUCUCCCUAGGUUGCCUACAUACUCCCCUUCCCUCUCUCUUAUGAAGGGAAUAUA
Molecule: long non-coding RNA, 5427 nt
Filed under: Homo sapiens (human)
Lineage: Eukaryota; Metazoa; Chordata; Mammalia; Primates; Hominidae
Description: HSALNT0129662
Source: RNAcentral